UUGGAAAUUGGUAACCCAUAUUGUUUAUCUGUUGGAAUAACUCCAUAGGGAGGAAUACUCAAAGAGGAACACAUGCUCAAUUUUUUUUAUGAACGAUGGUAUUUACAACCUGGUAAUAUUCAAGAAAUAUAAUUAAAUAUCUUGUCGAUUCUGGAAUUCUCAACUCUAAGUGGGAGGACUAUAUUAUUGCUACUUGGAUUAUUUAUUUUUUCUCUAGCACUCCCGCUAAAGGUCAUAUUUUAAUUUUUUUAUCUGCUUCGUCGAUGCAUUUUAUCUGGUUAUGAGUAUCUUAUAAAAUACAAGUUGUGAGGUUUAUUAUGUGUUCGUAACAUUUUAUACUGAAGUGGAACAUCAGUUUCUUAAGAGAUUUAAAUACUGAUUGGUGGGGGAAGUACACACUUCAGAAUAUUAAUUGAAACUUAUGGAAUG
RNAcentral lists this long non-coding RNA (429 nucleotides) under Brachypodium distachyon (stiff brome). RNAcentral's name for it is "long non-coding RNA (BDIS_LNC000773)". Lineage: Eukaryota; Viridiplantae; Streptophyta; Magnoliopsida; Poales; Poaceae. The record is from RNAcentral.